This 711-nucleotide unclassified non-coding RNA is filed under the name Hevea brasiliensis (rubber tree). Lineage: Eukaryota; Viridiplantae; Streptophyta; Magnoliopsida; Malpighiales; Euphorbiaceae. The record is from RNAcentral.
GUUUUUUUCCAACGAAAAAAUUCCAUUUCCCUGGGAAAAUUCAAUUUUUUUCUAUUAGAAGAGAAAAAUGUUCUUUUUAGUUAUAUGAAGAGAGGGCAGGUACACUGAAGAGAAAUAUAUACUCCUCAACAUAAAAUUAAAUAGAUAAAGAUAUGUAAUACAAUAACAAAAUGCCUGAGGAGAAAAACAUAUUGUACACCUGUUAAGUUGAGCAAGCAUUGCUACAACUUCCAAAUACGAGGAAAAUGUCCAUGAUAAACUGAUACAAAAUGAAACUCAUAGAAAAUAUUAUAUUAGGAGCACGUUAUCACAGAUAUUAAACAACCUGGUAUGGAGGAAUGCAUUUGAAAUUAAAAGAAUGCAACAAUCAUAUUUUAGAAAAUACAAUAAAGUAAUGUGGGGUAAUGCAUUGUAAUGAAUGUCUAUUAAUCUUUUAUUUAAAGGGAAAACAUCUAAAUGAAUUAAUCUAAAGAAAAUAAGCAUCAGCCUAGGACACCUCGUUAGAUAGAAGCCUGAUUUGUCGAUUUCUUAACUGCUGUUUAUAGUCUCCAUUACAGCAUUUCUUGUCCAAUUUUCUACCAUGAAAACAUAGAAGCAUUUCAUCAAACACAUUCCAGGCAUGAAAUUGAAGAAAUUGAUCAAAUAUGUGAAGCAAUGAAUCUGAAAAUAUUUGCAAUAUUGAAGGAAUUUUGUUUGUAACAUAAAGAGUUG